Molecule: ribosomal RNA, 484 nt
Filed under: uncultured bacterium
Lineage: Bacteria
Description: partial 16S ribosomal RNA
Rfam family: Bacterial small subunit ribosomal RNA
Source: RNAcentral
AUUGAACGCUGGCGGCAGGCCUAACACAUGCAAGUCGAGCGGAUGAAGGGAGCUUGCUCCUGGAUUCAGCGGCGGACGGGUGAGUAAUGCCUAGGAAUCUGCCUGGUAGUGGGGGAUAACGUCCGGAGACGGGCGCUAAUACCGCAUACGUCCUGAGGGAGAAAGUGGGGGAUCUUCGGACCUCACGCCAUCAGAUGAGCCUAGGUCGGAUUAGCUAGUUGGUGGGGUAAAGGCCUACCAAGGCGACGAUCCGUAACUGGUCUGAGAGGAUGAUCAGUCACACUGGAACUGAGACACGGUCCAGACUCCUACGGGAGGCAGCAGUGGGGAAUAUUGGACAAUGGGCGAAAGCCUGAUCCAGCCAUGCCGCGUGUGUGAAGAAGGUCUUCGGAUUGUAAAGCACUUUAAGUUGGGAGGAAGGGCAGUAAGUUAAUACCUUGCUGUUUUGACGUUACCAACAGAAUAAGCACCGGCUAACUUCGUG